UCUUUCCACCGACUUUCAUUAUAAAAAGUUUGCGUUUCUGACCAGCUUGGCACCUCAAGAAGAAGGAAAUGAAAGGAGGGAAACAGGCAACUAGAAGGCUCACCAAUAUUACAGAAAUGCUACAACCAAGGCAAUUAUGAGAAAGAGUGAUAAGUUGACAGUUGACGAGCAGAAAUUCAUUGACACAACCCAAAACGAGGAUUUUCUACCCUCUGCACAUCCAGCCAAAAGAUGGAGCUACACUGACGAAUUGAAGCACCAGCGCAACUUUCCAUCU
Non-coding RNA from Poecilia reticulata (guppy), 277 nucleotides. The record is from RefSeq and is a predicted model, not a curated record. NCBI's taxonomy places the organism in Eukaryota, Metazoa, Chordata, Actinopteri, Cyprinodontiformes, Poeciliidae.